This 72-nucleotide transfer RNA is filed under the name Goniomonas avonlea. Its description in RNAcentral is "tRNA-Trp". It matches the Rfam family "tRNA". Rfam says of the family: Transfer RNA (tRNA) molecules are approximately 80 nucleotides in length. Their secondary structure includes four short double-helical elements and three loops (D, anti-codon, and T loops). Lineage: Eukaryota; Cryptophyceae; Goniomonadida; Goniomonadaceae. The record is from RNAcentral.
AGAGAAGUAAUUUAAGGGUAAAAUAACGGUCUCCAAAGCUGGAAAUUAAGGGUUCAAGUCCCUUCUUCUCUG